AUGAAGAUGGAAGUUGAGACCUCGGGGGAAUCCCCUAGCCCAGGUCCUCCUGGUGCGGAUGAUGGCGGCGCAUCCGACGUCGCGGCCCUUGUUGAAGGCAUCAUCUCGGGGUCUGCUUGGUUGACGUGUGGGUGUUGCUGCAGGGAUGUUGGUGGUAGGUGGUGCGACCGGUUGGGUCGACGGUGGUAUGUGUUCGUCUGUGGUGGUGUUCGUCGGUGUCGCCCUGUUUGCUGUGCAUGCUCAAGACCUCCAUGGCUACCGUUGUGGUGCAGCGAGCUUCGUGCUCUUGGCGUUGUCCCGGUUCAUCUUUGCUCAAUGAUGCCGCAAGUUUCCUCCCCAACUUGCUAA
RNAcentral lists this ribosomal RNA (348 nucleotides) under Triticum aestivum (bread wheat). RNAcentral describes it as "partial small subunit ribosomal RNA". Lineage: Eukaryota; Viridiplantae; Streptophyta; Magnoliopsida; Poales; Poaceae. The record is from RNAcentral.